GCCACUAUAGCUCAGUCGGUAGAGCAACGCAUUCGUAACGCGUAGGUCUCGAGUUCGAGUCUCGAUAGUGGCU
This 73-nucleotide transfer RNA is filed under the name Dysgonamonadaceae bacterium. RNAcentral describes it as "tRNA-Thr". It matches the Rfam family "tRNA". Rfam says of the family: Transfer RNA (tRNA) molecules are approximately 80 nucleotides in length. Their secondary structure includes four short double-helical elements and three loops (D, anti-codon, and T loops). Lineage: Bacteria; Pseudomonadati; Bacteroidota; Bacteroidia; Bacteroidales; Dysgonomonadaceae. The record is from RNAcentral.